AGAGAAAAAACUAAUCGUCAAUAUUUCAUAUACUUAUUCUACUGUUUAAUCUACAUGAUAACUCUGCACCGCAUUACAAGAGGAGUGUUGGGUGAAGAUCAGCGGUUUGCAGCACAACAUUACAGAUGAUGGAAAAAAAAUUAGAGCAGCUCUGAUGAGCUGGAGUCUCGGGAUUAAACUGCCACAGAGACUGUCUGCUCCGCGCCUGUCUGAGACCUUUACCGGAUCAGCUAUAUUUAGUCUGCAUGGCCCCAGUUUACGGUUCAUCAUUGACAGAAGAAGAUUCAGUUUAAUAGAUCAUUCCAGAUCCAGAGUAAUCAUGCUAAUGCUUGAGGACAUCAGCAUGACAUUAAUAAUUGGUGUGCCUUUCAAUCAUCGCAGCAAUGUUCCCCCUCUGGUUUUCAGAAAUCAUCAUCUUUGUCUGCUAAACGGAGCAGGAUAAAUAGGUUAUGAUGAAGAAGUAAGUUUAAAAAAAAAUGAACAAAACAACAAAUUCUGUCAACGACGAUGUUGAAUACAUAUAUUUCCUUCAUCUGUCAUAUCCAGAAAACAGGAAACCAAAGAAGGAACAGGGGAGUACAUUAAAAUUACCUACAUAGGAUAACGACUGAACAAUAAACUGUCUCACAGGCAGCUUCUCUCUGAAUACUCAGGGACCAUAGUAAAAAAACAGAAUUCAUUUUGCAACCUGAUGAACCCUUUAAUCAGUCUCAGGGUGAUGCUCUCCAGGACAAACACAUGAGAGCACAUCACCUGACAACUACUUAAGAUCCUCAUCCUGGCUGGCUCAAAUAUACUGUAUUUCUGACAUUAUUCUGAAUUUACAAACUCAGCAGAGCUCUCAGGUCACAAAGCUAUGCCAAUCUCCCUCAUGCCCAGUGAGAUUGCAUUCAGGACGUUCUGUAUAACUUGUACUCAUUGAGUUCCAUUACAGUCAACAUUUAUGUUGUAUUCCUGUUUCCAUUUAAAUACAAAUUGUUGUGAAAACUCAUGCAGAUACAAUAUAACCAUGAAGACCUCUAAACUGACUGCAAGCUGGUCUCUGUUAACACCCAGAACCACCAUUUAUAUAAAUCACUCCAACCUGCC
Long non-coding RNA from Gasterosteus aculeatus aculeatus (three-spined stickleback), 1089 nucleotides. Lineage: Eukaryota; Metazoa; Chordata; Actinopteri; Perciformes; Gasterosteidae. The record is from Ensembl.